This 465-nucleotide ribosomal RNA is filed under the name uncultured bacterium. RNAcentral describes it as "partial 16S ribosomal RNA". It matches the Rfam family "Bacterial small subunit ribosomal RNA", at positions 28 to 507 of the family's 1533-position model. The record is from RNAcentral.
GACGAACGCUGGCGGCGUGCUUAACACAUGCAAGUCGAACGGAAAGGCCCUGCUUGCAGGGUACUCGAGUGGCGAACGGGUGAGUAACACGUGGGUGAUCUGCCCUGCACUUCGGGAUAAGCCUGGGAAACUGGGUCUAAUACCGGAUAGGAGCCAUUUUUAGUGUGAUGGUUGGAAAGUUUUUUCGGUGUGGGAUGAGCUCGCGGCCUAUCAGCUUGUUGGUGGGGUAAUGGCCUACCAAGGCGGCGCCGGGUAGCCGGCCUGCGAGGGUGGACGGCCACAUUGGGACUGAGAUACGGCCCAGACUCCUACGGGAGGCAGCAGUGGGGAAUAUUGCACAAUGGGCGCAAGCCUGAUGCAGCGGCGCCGCGUGGGGGAUGACGGCCUUCGGGUUGUAAACUCCUUUCGCUAGGGACGAAGCUUUUUGUGACGGUACCUAGAUAAGAAGCACCGGCUAACUACGUG